UAAAAUCGUGUUGGAGUGGAGUUCUGUGUGAGCGCUGUCUUUGAACCAAAUCAGUUCCACAACUGACCCUGUCAGGGACAUAUAAAUUUAGCAUUUCGGUGUGGAUACAGAAGACGAGAUUAACACAGAUCAAGUAACAUGGAAAUAAAAAAGGAGACAAUGCUGGAUGAUACGGGGGCAGCCAACAAGAAGAGAAAACCCAAGCAUUGGCAAACCCCUCAUUAUCCAAAGAACACUGCAAAAGAAAGCCUGAGGAGGCUUUCCCCUCUGAGUUUUUCUGUGGAUUGCUGGACUCUGAGGCCCUCAUUCCUCUUGCAGGAGGUGUGGAGCAAAACUGUGUUGAAGGAACUGUAGAUGGAAAUUCUCUCCUUCCCACCGAGGAGCCGCUGCAGGUUGCAGACUCCCAGAAUGCCACACUGAGAAGAGGAGGGCUGAAAUUCUAGAGCAGAAUCCCUGGGGCAGCCCCUGCUGAAGGAGGGUGCAUCUGUUGAAAAUCUCACCGCCGCCCCCACCCCGCCCAGCCUUCAAUUUAGAGGAAUUUCUAGUUCAUGCAGAAUGAAGACAAGAUCACAUAAGUGAGGAUGACGCCCUAUUUACAAGUGUGGUUUGGAAGACUGAAGUGGAAACCUUGGGAAAGGGCCUCAGAGUAUGUCAGCUGGGGUCAGACGGGAACAGGAGGCUGGCUCAACACACAUUUAUUGCACUCCUGCUUCAUGCCAAGAAAUGCACCAAAAUCUGGAAUUGUGUAACACAGCAAAGGAAAAGACUCAUCUCCAGGAAGCCCCCUUGUCUAGGAAGAGAAAUUGAAUAUCAGCAUAAGGUGGUGAAAAGCUGUGAAGGAGAUGAGUGCCACAAGUCCAUGGAGGAAGGAU
This 872-nucleotide long non-coding RNA is filed under the name Pongo abelii (Sumatran orangutan). RNAcentral's name for it is "lincRNA". Lineage: Eukaryota; Metazoa; Chordata; Mammalia; Primates; Hominidae. The record is from RNAcentral.